AUGGCCUCCGACAUCCACGCGCCCACCGAGAUCCCCGCACCCAGCCACCUCGUCCGCGAGCUUCGCCGACGUCCACUCCUUCGACUACGUCCACCAGUUGGAGCCGGGAGCCCCUGGAUCGCAGGGAUCGACGUCGUCUUCAACCUCCAACCACCGCGACGCCAUCGACGAAUUCGUCGCCGUCGCUCCACCCCCGGCCUUCUCGAUCUCGCCUACGACACCGCGGUGAGUGUUCCCCCUCCGUUACUUCUUUUCGGUUGGCUCCGAGACCGUUGCCGAUACCCCUGUGAUCGACUACAUCGACGACGACCCCUUCUUCUUGCUAGAGCAACCAGAGCAAGACCCAGCUGUAUGUGUACGAGAGAUAUAUUUUAUUGA
RNAcentral lists this ribosomal RNA (378 nucleotides) under Triticum aestivum (bread wheat). RNAcentral's name for it is "partial small subunit ribosomal RNA". The record is from RNAcentral. Lineage: Eukaryota; Viridiplantae; Streptophyta; Magnoliopsida; Poales; Poaceae.